UGACUGGCAAUGUUUUGCUGUUUGUCCCUAGUUGCCCCUUGAGAAGGUUGGAGGUGAGCUGCCUUCUUGAAUCACUGCAGUCCACAUGAAGUGAGUUGACCCACAAUACCCUUAGGGAGGGAAUUCCAGGAUGUUGACCCAGCAACAGUGAAGGAACGGCAAUAUAUUUCCAAAUCAAAAUGAUUUUGAAUUAAUGAAAGCGUGAGUUUAUUAAUUGCUGAAUGCGAGAAGGGAAAAGAAGACCUAACAUGCAGAUAAGGAAUAAGAAGUGAGCUUGAAGAAGAUGAAAAAACAUAAGAUGGAUCAGACUCUCUAAAUUCAAAAAGAAAACAGUGGAACAUUGAGAGCUGAACAGUUAAUUUCAGGAUUCUUGGAUUUUGCAGCCCUGAACAAAUAGAAUCAUUUGCCUGUUGACGGGUAUCGGAUUACAUGGAGAAUUUCAGAUCCACAAAGCAACAAAUACUACAGUGUUCCAUUGUCUCAGUAUGCUUCCAACAGUCAAGAAGGAGUGAGCACUUCCAGAGUGAGACACAACCCCAGAUGACAAAUUAUUUGGGGAAUUUGGAGGAAAUGUGAGAAUUCAGUGCAGAGGGGAAGAGCAAUGCCAAACAAGUAUUCAGAAGAGACUUUUAUUUACAUACGCCUGCAGCCAGGAAAGGAAAAUUUACACAUUAAGCCAUCAUGCCUUCUAUCCCACUCCUCACUGGGAAAUCACACUUAAAGUGCAGCUAGGAACUGAGUCACAUUUGGAUCCUAAGUGUGAAUGGAACUCACACUAGAUGGGGAAGGUAUCUUCGGGGCAGAGGGGGAGGAAUGAAAA
Long non-coding RNA from Stegostoma tigrinum, 820 nucleotides. RefSeq lists it as uncharacterized. The record is from RefSeq and is a predicted model, not a curated record. NCBI's taxonomy places the organism in Eukaryota, Metazoa, Chordata, Chondrichthyes, Orectolobiformes, Stegostomatidae. The transcript has 6 exons.